CAAAGGUUUGGUCCUGACUUUUCUGUCAGCUUUAGCUAGAUUUACACAUGCAAGUAUCCGCACCCCCGUGAGAAUGCCCAUAGUCCCCCGCUCGGAGACAAGGAGCUGGUAUCAGGCACAACCCUUGUUUAGCCCACGACGCCUUGCUUAGCCACACCCUCAAGGGUAUUCAGCAGUGAUUAACAUUAAGCCAUAAGUGAAAACUUGACUUACUCAAAGCUAAGAGGGCCGGUAAAACUCGUGCCAGCCACCGCGGUUAUACGAGAGGCCCAAGUUGACAGACCACGGCGUAAAGAGUGGUUAGGGAAAUUUCUAAACUAAAGCCGAACGCUUCCUGAGAGCUGUUAUACGCAUAUCGAAGUAUGAAGACCAACAACGAAAGUGGCUUUAACCUUUAACCUGAACCCACGAGAGCUAAGGAACAAACUGGGAUUAGAUACCCCACUAUGCUUAGCCCUAAACAUUGACUGUGAACUACACCCCACAUCCGCCCGGGAACUACGAACGUAAGUUUAAAACCCAAAGGACUUGGCGGUGCUUUAUAUCCCCCUAGAGGAGCCUGUUCUAGAACCGAUUAUCCCCGUUCAACCUCACCCUCUCUUGCCCCAUUCCGCCUAUAUACCACCGUCGUCAGCUCACCCCGUGAGGGUCUAAUAGUAAGCAAAAUCGGCACAGCCCAAAACGUCAGGUCGAGGUGUAGCGAAUGAGAGGGGAAGAAAUGGGCUACAUUCGCUAACAACUAGCGCAUAAACGAAUAUAUACAUUGAAAUAUGUUAUUGAAGGAGGAUUUAGUAGUAAGUGGAAAAUAGAGCGUUCCACUGAAACCGGCCCUAAAGCACGCACAUACCGCCCGUCACCCUCUCCAUUCCAGCCCUCUUACUCCACCUUUACUCAUAAAAACAUCCACUCGGCUAUUUAACAUUACUUGGUUAAAUUUUUAGGGGAGGAAAGUCGUAACAUGGUAAGCGUAUCGGAAGAUGUGCUUGGAUCAAA
RNAcentral lists this non-coding RNA (993 nucleotides) under Eleutheronema rhadinum (East Asian fourfinger threadfin). Its description in RNAcentral is "12S ribosomal RNA". It matches the Rfam family "Bacterial small subunit ribosomal RNA". The record is from RNAcentral. Lineage: Eukaryota; Metazoa; Chordata; Actinopteri; Polynemidae.